This 253-nucleotide ribosomal RNA is filed under the name uncultured bacterium. RNAcentral describes it as "partial 16S ribosomal RNA". It matches the Rfam family "Bacterial small subunit ribosomal RNA", at positions 524 to 776 of the family's 1533-position model. The record is from RNAcentral.
UACGGAGGAUGCAAGCGUUAUCCGGAAUUAUUGGGCGUAAAGCGUCCGCAGGUGGUUUUACAAGUCUGCUGUCAAAGCGCGGAGCUUAACUUCGUAUCGGCAGUGGAAACUGUGGAACUAGAGUUUGGUAGGGGUCACGGGAAUUCCCAGUGUAGCGGUGAAAUGCGUAGAUAUUGGGAAGAACACCAGCGGCGAAAGCGCGUGACUGGGCCUGAACUGACACUCAUGGACGAAAGCUAGGGGAGCGAAAGGG